GAUGAAGACGCAGCGAAAUGCGAUAAGUAAUGUGAAUUGCAGAAUUCAGUGAAUCAUCGAAUCUUUGAACGCACAUUGCGCCCUCUGGUAUUCCGGGGGGCAUGCCUGUUCGAGCGUCAUUAUAACCACUCAAGCUCUCGCUUGGUAUUGGGGUUCGCGGUUUCGCGGCCCCUAAAAUCAGUGGCGGUGCCUGUCGGCUCUACGCGUAGUAAUACUUCUCGCGAUUGAGUUCGAUAGGUCUACUUGCCAGUAACCCCCAAUUUUUACAGGUUGACCUCGGAUCAGGUAGGGAUACCCGCUGAACUUAAGCAUAUCAAUAAGCGGAGGA
RNAcentral lists this unclassified non-coding RNA (328 nucleotides) under soil metagenome. Its description in RNAcentral is "partial contains 5.8S ribosomal RNA, internal transcribed spacer 2, and large subunit ribosomal RNA". The stretch from base 1 to 119 matches the Rfam family "5.8S ribosomal RNA", at positions 35 to 154 of the family's 154-position model. The record is from RNAcentral.